This 253-nucleotide ribosomal RNA is filed under the name uncultured bacterium. RNAcentral describes it as "partial 16S ribosomal RNA". It matches the Rfam family "Bacterial small subunit ribosomal RNA", at positions 524 to 776 of the family's 1533-position model. The record is from RNAcentral.
UACGUAGGUGGCAAGCGUUGUCCGGAUUUAUUGGGUUUAAAGGGCGCGUAGGCGGGGAGGUAAGUCGGGUGUGAAAUCCCUCGGCCCAACCGAGGAACUGCGCCCGAGACUGCUUCUCUUGAGUCCCGGAGAGGAAGGUGGAAUUCCCGGUGUAGCGGUGAAAUGUGUAGAGAUCGGGAGGAACACCGGUGGCGAAGGCGGCCUUCUGGACGGUGACUGACGCUGAGGCGCGAAAGCGUGGGGAGCAAACGGG